This 292-nucleotide ribosomal RNA is filed under the name uncultured bacterium. Its description in RNAcentral is "partial 16S ribosomal RNA". It matches the Rfam family "Bacterial small subunit ribosomal RNA", at positions 505 to 796 of the family's 1533-position model. The record is from RNAcentral.
GUGUCAGCAGCCGCGGUAAUACAGGGGGGGCAAGCGUUGUUCGGAAUUACUGGGCGUAAAGGGUUUGUAGGUGGCUCGCUAAGUCAUACGUGAAAUCCCUCAGCUUAACUGGGGAACUGCGUCUGAUACUGGAGAGCUUGAGUGCAGGAGAGGAACGCGGAAUUCCAGGUGUAGCGGUGAAAUGCGUAGAUAUCUGGAGGAACACCGGUGGCGAAGGCGGCGUUCUGGACUGCAACUGACACUGAGAAACGAAAGCCAGGGGAGCAAACGGGAUUAGAAACCCUCGUAGUCC